CCUACGGGUGGCAGCAGUGGGGAAUAUUGGGCAAUGGAGGAAACUCUGACCCAGCAAUGCCGCGUGAAUGAAGAAGGUCUUCGGGUUGUAAAGUUCUUUAGUCAGGGAAGAAUAAAAUGACGGUACUUGAAGAAUAAGCUCCGGCUAACCACGUGCCAGCAGCCGCGGUAAUCCGUAGGGAGCAAGCGUUGUUAGGAAUGAAUGGGCGUAAAGGGUGCGUAGGCGGUUAUACAAGUUAGAAGUGAAAUACACAGGGCUUAACUCGGGUGCUGCUUUUCAAACUGGAAGACUUGAGUGCAGUAGAGGUGAGUGGAAUUCCUAGUGUAGCGGUGGAAUGCGUAGAUAUUACGAGGAACACCAGAGGCGAAGGCAGCUAACUGGACUGCAACUGACGCUGAGGCACGAAAGUGUGGGGAGCAAACAGGAUUAGAUACCCUAGUAGUC
Molecule: ribosomal RNA, 444 nt
Filed under: uncultured bacterium
Lineage: Bacteria
Description: partial 16S ribosomal RNA
Rfam family: Bacterial small subunit ribosomal RNA
Source: RNAcentral